Molecule: long non-coding RNA, 206 nt
Filed under: Gossypium raimondii (Peruvian cotton)
Lineage: Eukaryota; Viridiplantae; Streptophyta; Magnoliopsida; Malvales; Malvaceae
Description: long non-coding RNA (GRAI_LNC010462)
Source: RNAcentral
GGACCUGGGAAUAGAAGAGAAGAAAAGCAAAGAAGAAGUUUGGAGUCAGUUUAGGGUUAAAAAGAAAAAAAAGAUCUUUGGGUUAGUUUAGGGUUUAGUAUUAGCUUGGGGUUUUGAAAAAAAUUGUGGAUUUUGUUUGUUUAGGGUUUGAAGAAAAGAAAUUAAGGUAUUUUUGUACGUUUAGGGUUUAACAAAUUUAUUUGUUU